RNAcentral lists this ribosomal RNA (223 nucleotides) under uncultured bacterium. RNAcentral's name for it is "partial 16S ribosomal RNA". It matches the Rfam family "Bacterial small subunit ribosomal RNA", at positions 127 to 334 of the family's 1533-position model. The record is from RNAcentral.
UGUCCUAGAGUGGGGGACAACCCGGGGAAACCUGGGCUAAUACCGCAUGAUGCUCCGUCAUCGCAUGGUGAUGGAAUCAAAGAGAGCCUCUGCUUGCAAGCUCUCGCUCAAGGAGGGGGUCGCGACGUAUCAGCUUGUUGGUGGGGUAAUGGCCUACCAAGGCUACGACGCGUAGCGGGUCUGAGAGGACGACCCGUCACAUUGGGACUGAGAUACGGCCCAG